GGGGGGGGCAAGCGUUGUUCGGAAUUAUUGGGCGUAAAGGGUAGGUAGGUGGUCUCAUUUGUCUGGGGUGAAAGCCUUGAGCUUAACUCAAGAAGUGCCCCGGAAACGGUGAGACUAGAGUCUUGGAGAGGGUCGUGGAAUUCCCGGUGUAGCGGUGAAAUGCGUAGAGAUCGGGAGGAACACCAGAGGCGAAGGCGGCGACCUGGACAAGUACUGACACUCAACUACGAAAGCGUGGGGAGCAAACAGGAUUAGAUACCCUGGUAGUCCACGCCGUAAACGAUGGGUACUAGGCUUGGCGGGUCAUUCAGUUGAUCUGUGCCGGAGCUAACGCGUUAAAUAUGCCGCCUGGGGAGUACAGUCGCAAGGCUG
RNAcentral lists this ribosomal RNA (372 nucleotides) under uncultured bacterium. RNAcentral describes it as "bacterial SSU rRNA". It matches the Rfam family "Bacterial small subunit ribosomal RNA", at positions 527 to 896 of the family's 1533-position model. The record is from RNAcentral.